RNAcentral lists this ribosomal RNA (497 nucleotides) under uncultured bacterium. Its description in RNAcentral is "partial 16S ribosomal RNA". It matches the Rfam family "Bacterial small subunit ribosomal RNA", at positions 28 to 507 of the family's 1533-position model. The record is from RNAcentral.
GAUGAACGCUGGCGGCGUGCCUAAUACAUGCAAGUCGAGCGAACAGAUGAGGAGCUUGCUCCUCUGACGUUAGCGGCGGACGGGUGAGUAACACGUGGAUAACCUACCUAUAAGACUGGGAUAACUUCGGGAAACCGGAGCUAAUACCGGCUCAUAUAUUGAACCGCAUGGUUCAAUAGUGAAAGACGGUUUUGCUGUCACUUAUAGAUGGUUCGGCGCCGCAUUAGCUAGUUGGUAAGGUAACGGCUUACCAAAGCAACGAUGCGUAGCCGGCCUGAGAGGACGAGCAGCCACACUGGGACUGAGACACGGCCCAGACUACGACGGGAGGCAGCAGUGGGGAAGUUUGGACAAUGGGGGCAACCCUGAUCCAGCCAUCCAGAGUGUGCGAUGAAGGCCUUCGGGUUGGAAAGCACUUUUGGCAGGAAAGAAACGUCGCGGGCUAAUACCCCGGGGAACUGACGGUACCUGCAGAAUAAGCACCGGCUAACUACGUG